GGAUUAAGAGCUUGCUCUUAUGAAGUUAGCGGCGGACGGGUGAGUAACACGUGGGUAACCUGCCCAUAAGACUGGGAUAACUCCGGGAAACCGGGGCUAAUACCGGAUAACAUUUUGAACCGCAUGGUUCGAAAUUGAAAGGCGGCUUCGGCUGUCACUUAUGGAUGGACCCGCGUCGCAUUAGCUAGUUGGUGAGGUAACGGCUCACCAAGGCAACGAUGCGUAGCCGACCUGAGAGGGUGAUCGGCCACACUGGGACUGAGACACGGCCCAGACUCCUACGGGAGGCAGCAGUAGGGAAUCUUCCGCAAUGGACGAAAGUCUGACGGAGCAACGCCGCGUGAGUGAUGAAGGCUUUCGGGUCGUAAAACUCUGUUGUUAGGGAAGAACAAGUGCUAGUUGAAUAAGCUGGCACCUUGACGGUACCUAACCAGAAAGCCACGGCUAACUACGUG
RNAcentral lists this ribosomal RNA (455 nucleotides) under Bacillus anthracis (anthrax bacterium). RNAcentral's name for it is "bacterial SSU rRNA". It matches the Rfam family "Bacterial small subunit ribosomal RNA", at positions 69 to 507 of the family's 1533-position model. Lineage: Bacteria; Bacillati; Bacillota; Bacilli; Caryophanales; Bacillaceae. The record is from RNAcentral.